RNAcentral lists this transfer RNA (72 nucleotides) under Camelus ferus (Wild Bactrian camel). It matches the Rfam family "tRNA". From Rfam's summary of the family: Transfer RNA (tRNA) molecules are approximately 80 nucleotides in length. Their secondary structure includes four short double-helical elements and three loops (D, anti-codon, and T loops). Further hydrogen bonds mediate the characteristic L-shaped molecular structure. tRNAs have two regions of fundamental functional importance: the anti-codon, which is responsible for specific mRNA codon recognition, and the 3' end, to which the tRNAs corresponding amino acid is attached (by aminoacyl-tRNA synthetases). tRNAs cope with the degeneracy of the genetic code in two manners: having more than one tRNA (with a specific anti-codon) for a particular amino acid; and 'wobble' base-pairing, i.e. permitting non-standard base-pairing at the 3rd anti-codon position. The record is from Rfam by way of RNAcentral. Lineage: Eukaryota; Metazoa; Chordata; Mammalia; Artiodactyla; Camelidae.
GAGGGUAUAGCUCAGCGGUAGAGUGCCUGCUUAGCAUGUGUGAGGUCUUGGGUUCAAUCCCCAGUACCUCCA